RNA transcript from Nomia melanderi (Alkali bee), 3602 nucleotides. It is a transcript of the gene named histidine protein methyltransferase 1 homolog, with no coding region annotated. NCBI's taxonomy places the organism in Eukaryota, Metazoa, Arthropoda, Insecta, Hymenoptera, Halictidae. The record is from RefSeq and is a predicted model, not a curated record.
AACUUCAGAGGUCGUUGUAUACCAGAAAUCGCCUUCAGUAGAGAUCUAACUUAUCUUCGACAAUGUUGUGGACGGUUACCCCAUUUAAGUUUACCUUUUUCCGUUUCUUUUCGUUGGCGAAAGUGCACGGACAAUUACCAAAAUCAAAAUGUUCAAAUUCGGAUUUCCGAAAGACGACGAAAUGAAAGAAAAUGAUGUUAAUACUAUAAAAUCUACCGUUGAUUGGAUACCUGCAUCAAAGGUUCUAGUAUCCGAAUUGCAAAUCGAAAAACAAUUCGUACCGAAUGAUUACACGGUAAGCACAGUAUUUCCCAGGUGUAAAUUAAAAUUAAUUCGAUUCGAUAAAGCUUUACAAGACUUAAAAGACGAAGACUGUGUAAUCAUUAAAGAAGCAGAGUCACAACACUCAGAUCUAGUUCCCGCCAAAUACGAAGGUGGUCUAAAAAUCUGGGAAUGCAGUUACGAUCUAGGUCACUAUAUCCUCGAAAACAACAUCGAAUUUAAAGGCAAGGUUGUCUUGGAUUUGGGUUGUGGCGCCGGUGUCAUUGGCCUGAUAGCUCUUCUAAGAGAUUCAAUCGUUCAUUUCCAAGAUUACAACGUAGAGGUAAUUAAAACGAUAACGAUUCCAAACGUUUUGCUCAAUUCGGAGGAUCGGGAGAAAGUUUUGCAAAGAUGCGAAUUUUUUUGCGGGGAUUGGGAGUCGUUUACGAGGUUAAAUGACAAUAAAAACGAGGUUUCGAGGUACGAUUUCAUUUUCACAAGUGAAACGAUUUAUAAUCCUGACAAUCAUAGGAAACUGUACGAAGUUUUUAAAGAGAAACUGCAACCAGAUGGCGUGGGGUUCGUUGCCGCCAAAAGUUACUAUUUCGGUGUUGGCGGUGGAAUGAGACAAUUUCAAAGUCUCAUAGAGGAAGAUGGUAUUUUCGAUAUCGAAAUAGCAUGGAAAAGUCAACAGGUGUUCUCUACAGGAAAUGGACCACUUUCUACAUCGAAAGACACGCAUAGAGUAACAAAUACAGGUAUCCUUUGUCUCUAUCGUACCUAUUAAUAUUGUUUCCCACGGUAAUCUAAAUUGACCGUUUCCUAUUGAUAGCAGUAGUGAUUCGAACUAGUUUUACAAUACGAUUGAUUCCGUGUUUUUAAUUAUCAAUAUAUGAGCGCACUCUCGCGAGACACUGCGGCACCUAUUAUCACGCGUUAGCGUUCGAUAACAGGUGUUUCGUUGGCAAUUACGUAAACCACUGGGAAUAGUUCAAGCAAUCCAUUUUCUUGUGGUAGGGAAAGUAAUUUAAACUUGAUCAUUGAAACGCGAGAAAUUCUCAGUGAAAUCUACCAAAUGCUCAGUUAAAUCUACCAAAACCUGUACAGUUCAAUUUUGACUCAUGAAGAAUGUACGAUUAGGGGUUAGUGUCUCCUGGAAGUACGCGGGAACCGAAAAAUUUCGGUAAUUAUUUGAGGAUCAGGAUUCCCGAAAUUUCCGGGAAUCCCCGACGUUUUUGGGUCUCUAGAUCUCCAGUUCCUGAUAUUUUAGGGUUCUCGCAAAUCUCUAGCACAUUCUUAAUGGUAAAAUUACCUCCGAUGUCAACGCUGUAGUUCAUAUCUUGGGCGACAGAUUUUUCUGAUGACAUGAUGGUUACUCAGCUAAAUACUCCGAUUUCACAAAGGAAUGACUGACACUGGUUUGAAAGUGUUAUCUCGCAUGGCAAAACGUUGACACAACUUUUAACGUCACAUGUUCGAGGUUCCUUCCUCGUGGAAGAUGGCGCGCACUGUCAUGAGAUGCCGAAAUAAAGAUUUUCUAGGAUUAUGUUGCUCGUAUUUUAUCGCUUUUUUUUUGUUUACAAAGUUUUGACACUGAUACACCUGACAUGUCGAAGUGGCGAAGACUUGUAUUGCACUUGUAUUGGUUAAUGGAGUUACGAUUUGAGAUUAGACGAGACAUUUUCGGAACAUUUGCGAAAGUUGGAAACUAUUCCUACGUCACUGAGAUGAUUAAUAUCGUGACAUGAUUUAGAAAUAUCUUGUAGACAAUUUUGCAAUGUGUAAUUUAUGUAUGUAUAUCGUAUUUCCAUUUACUUCCUAGGUUACAGUGGUAUUUCUGUUGUUUGUUAUUUGACUGUAUCGAAUUUUUUAAAUAAUGAUGGAUAAUCAUUUUUCUGUUGAUUGAUCGAUUAAUGUUUAUCACGGUAUUUAUGAUUUAUAGGGAUUUCUAAUAUGUAAAAUGUCAGUUUUAUUGAAAGGCUAAUAUGAAAUAUUUUUGCUAAGUACAUCGUGUAAUGCAUCGAAUAUUAAAUAUUUACUAUCGGUGGUUUAUCGAACAAUGUUUAUAUUGUAUAGUAAAAUUAAUAUUUUAAAACAGAUCAAAAUAUUCAACUGAUUAUAUUUGUUAAUUUAAUUCAUGAAAUAAGGAAAUAUGUAUAAUGACUGCUUGCAUGUAGUAUAACAAACUUUAUUAUAAAACAAUCUAAUUGCUUGAAAUGUUGUAACAAAAGUUAUUUUAUAAAUGACAUAUUUGAAUGUAAUGCGGAUCUAUUAUUGUUAUUAAUUUGUAAUUUAUUACAACGCUUAAAUGAAUCAACUCGUUUAAAAAUUUGAAAUAUAAAAUAAAGAUUAUUUCUGUAUGCUUUAAUGGCGAAUAAAAAUAAAGUACACUGUUUUAUUUUGACAAGAAAAUUGUAUUAUAUAUUUUUAAAUAAAAUAUAAGUUACAACCUGUGUUAAUAAUUAAGAAACUACUUGUUUUCAAGUAGUUGUGUCGGUAAUUGAUCAUCGGAAGAAGUGUUUUCUUAUAAAUGAAAGAAAAGUUUUGUCAGUUGCAUUAUUUGCAACUAACGUUUACCAAAAUAAAAAAAUCAAUGUUUCAAUUCAUGGACUGUUAUAACAUACGAUAGUAUGAAUCAUACUACUCGUCGUAUUUUGACAAGCAACAGAUAAUAUCGUCGCUAGGUUAGAAUGAAGGAUGUGAUGCCCUGCUAUCUGUAUAUACUUACUCUGCUACAUCACGAAUAUCCUUUUGGAAGGUUACCGAAUCAAUUAUAUAGACUAAUCCUUUUGCAGAUAAUUUAAAUUGAUCAAAAAAUUUAUAUCGUAAACGUUCGUGUCCAGGAAUAUCAACAAGUUUCAAGACGUAUAAGUUUUAACAAAUUUGGAACAUAAUAAACGUGCAAAUAUCAGAGUUUUACCAGAAUCGCUCAAACCAGUUAAAAGUAUCCUAUUACCUAUGGACUUUUUUCUGCGCCAUAUGAAAAAUAACACUGAACAGAUAAACAAAGCGAAGGAUUAUACACAGUAUCAUAAUGCCUACACUUAGCUUACCAACAUCACACAACCAUAUAAAGUUAAGUAUAUGGAUAUUCUGAUUUAAACCAACAAAGUUCUUAAAAGAUGUACCUAUUUUUGUUUUAUAUAUAUAAUUACGAUAUUAUGUUUCUUGAACUCCUUGUAUGUAUUAUUAUACUUCUUCUUUUUUAUCGUACAUAUUAUGAUAUACAUUGAUUUUAAACGAAUGAGUGUAAUUGCUUAUUGGACUUGGUAAAUAAUGUUAAAAGAUAAUAUGAAAUUUAUGAAUACUAUUAAAAUAUACUUUAUAAUUUGCAUAUUUCA